CUGGUACGUAUGCAUGGGGGGCUGCUUGUUUGGCAUAUUUAUAUAAGCAGCUAGGUAUCGCGAGUAGAAGAGAUGUCAAGGGAAUCUGUGGAUAUUUAACAUUACUUGAGGCUUGGAUAUACGAACAUUUUCCAUUGACUAGAAGUAAACAUAAUUUAUCAUAUACUAACGAGUUGCCUAGGGCUCAUCGCUGGCUUCCUGUUCGUGAGUACGAUUCUUUGCAAUCUUUGCGAGAGCGACUUGAUGACUUAACUGAAGAUCAGGUCAUAUGGACACCAUAUAGGAGGCAUCGUGCACAACACCCACUCCAUGAGAUUGCAUUCUUCUCCGGAUGUCUUAAGUGUGGAGGCGUGAUUGAGCCAUAUCAUCCGGAGAGGGUUCUGCGACAAUUUGGGCAUAGGUAGAAUAUACCUCCACCUCCAUUAUCUCCUAUUGAAGCCAAGCGGGGUAGAGCUAC
This is a long non-coding RNA of Diospyros lotus (date-plum), 457 nucleotides long. RefSeq lists it as uncharacterized. The record is from RefSeq and is a predicted model, not a curated record. NCBI's taxonomy places the organism in Eukaryota, Viridiplantae, Streptophyta, Magnoliopsida, Ericales, Ebenaceae. The transcript has 3 exons.